CAUCGCCCGCGCAAUCCCGCCGCAGGAGCCCAGCCGGCGCCGCUGCUAUCGGGGACCCUCCCCGGGUCCGCGGGACUUGUGCCCUCUGCGCUCAGAUCGCCAGACCCGAGCUACCCAAGUUGGCAGUUCCCGCCGCUUUUUUUCAGGGGGUCUCCAGAGGCAGCAGGAGUAGCGAAAAAGCAGAAGAACCCUAGCUGGGGUUGUGGCCCCUGUUUUUGACGGUCCUGUGCCCCCACCCCCACCCCCCGGUCCUCCAAGGGUGUACUUCACAGUGAUCAAAGCGAGAAAAGGCUGAGUCACCCACUUCACAAACGGGGAGUGUGACUGCAAGACCAAGAACAUUGAUGAAGCUGCCCGAUAUCGCUGGGACACCAAACAGCAGCACAGAGGUUCAGUCUCUGGUCUGCAUCGCUGUGAUCCUCUGUCCUUUUUUUCAAAGGGGAGGAAGCUCCUUCCAAGGUGACUGUGAGCAUUUCUGUCUGCUGAUGAGGUCGUUUAAGAUGCGCUCUGUUCCAUUAUCUACACUAUUAUUUUAACAUAACAGUUUAGUAAGGUUUGAGAAUAGCCAGAGCUUGUGAAGCUAGACAGACAUCAUCCUACUCUGGUGAAAAAAGUCUGUGGCUCUGUGGCGGAUUAACUAAUGGGCGGCUUGGAACACCCAGCUGAACUGAAUCAGCGUGGUGCU
Long non-coding RNA from Chinchilla lanigera (long-tailed chinchilla), 685 nucleotides. RefSeq lists it as uncharacterized. The record is from RefSeq and is a predicted model, not a curated record. The transcript has 3 exons. NCBI's taxonomy places the organism in Eukaryota, Metazoa, Chordata, Mammalia, Rodentia, Chinchillidae.